UUUCAUUUGUGUAGCAUCGCUUCUUGAUGUUAACGACGAUUAAAGUGCCCUUGCUUCAUGUUUGUUAUUUUGGAUUUGCAUAGAACAGUUUGGACUUAUGGAGACUGUUGUGUUUCUUGAUUUACUGUAUGCUUGACACUGUUAAGGCUCCUAAAUCAUGACUUUAAGUGGAUAAUUUAUGUAAUUGUAUUGUGUUUUAAGCC
RNAcentral lists this unclassified non-coding RNA (203 nucleotides) under Hevea brasiliensis (rubber tree). The record is from RNAcentral. Lineage: Eukaryota; Viridiplantae; Streptophyta; Magnoliopsida; Malpighiales; Euphorbiaceae.